ACCUUGCCAGUAUGUCCCUGAAGCGUCCUACAGCACACCAGAUCGGUGGCCCCGAAGCUUACAGAAGACUUCCCAUGCGCCUUCGCGUAUCCCGCAACAUCAGUGUCUAGCAACAGCAGGCGCCUCUGCUUCAAGCGUUCUCUAAGACUAUUCACCGUUUCAGUGGCAGCAACGUGGCGGGCCUUUAGCUCCGCAACAGACAUUUCUUUCUCGUAAAGGAAACCAAAAAUUGAACUAAAAGGCAGGCAUUUGCUUUUAAGCUCGGAUUCGAUUCUGAGCCCUAGUGAUCAUGAUGUGAAAAGGCUAAAGUAGCUAAUACAACAGUGAGAGAAAGAGAAUUAGGUGGUUCAGGCAAGAGAGAUGUGGCCUCGAUGAUUAGAAAGAGAAAUGAAAAAGAAAAAAAUGGAUACUUCCGAGAUUGAGAUGGAGAAGAGGAGGAGCAAACGGUGAGCGAGGAGGAGUGGUG
RNAcentral lists this unclassified non-coding RNA (466 nucleotides) under Hevea brasiliensis (rubber tree). Lineage: Eukaryota; Viridiplantae; Streptophyta; Magnoliopsida; Malpighiales; Euphorbiaceae. The record is from RNAcentral.